This 422-nucleotide ribosomal RNA is filed under the name uncultured Pedobacter sp. Its description in RNAcentral is "bacterial SSU rRNA". It matches the Rfam family "Bacterial small subunit ribosomal RNA", at positions 355 to 774 of the family's 1533-position model. Lineage: Bacteria; Pseudomonadati; Bacteroidota; Sphingobacteriia; Sphingobacteriales; Sphingobacteriaceae. The record is from RNAcentral.
UAAGGAAUAUUGGUCAAUGGAGGCAACUCUGAACCAGCCAUGCCGCGUGCAGGAAGACAGCCCUCUGGGUCGUAAACUGCUUUUAUUCGGGAAUAAACCACAUUACGUGUAAUGUGCUGAAUGUACCGAAGGAAUAAGGAUCGGCUAACUCCGUGCCAGCAGCCGCGGUAAUACGGAGGAUCCAAGCGUUAUCCGGAUUUAUUGGGUUUAAAGGGUGCGUAGGCGGCUUAUUAAGUCAGGGGUGAAAGACGGUGGCUCAACCAUCGCAGUGCCCUUGAUACUGAUGAGCUUGAAUACACUAGAGGUAGGCGGAAUGUGACAAGUAGCGGUGAAAUGCAUAGAUAUGUCACAGAACACCGAUUGCGAAGGCAGCUUACUAUGGUGUGAUUGACGCUGAGGCACGAAAGCGUGGGGAUCAAACA